Molecule: ribosomal RNA, 512 nt
Filed under: uncultured bacterium
Lineage: Bacteria
Description: partial 16S ribosomal RNA
Rfam family: Bacterial small subunit ribosomal RNA
Source: RNAcentral
GACGAACGCUGGCGGCGUGCCUAAUACAUGCAAGUCGAGCGAAUCAAUAGGAGCUUGCUCCUGAUGGUUAGCGGCGGACGGGUGAGUAACACGUGGGCAACCUGCCUGUAAGACUGGGAUAACACCGGGAAACCGGUGCUAAUACCGGAUAAUCCUUUUCCUCUCAUGAGGAAAAGCUGAAAGUCGGUUUCGGCUGUCACUUACAGAUGGGCCCGCGGCGCAUUAGCUAGUUGGUGAGGUAACGGCUCACCAAGGCGACGAUGCGUAGCCGACCUGAGAGGGUGAUCGGCCCCACUGGGACUGAGACACGGCCCAGACUCCUACGGGAGGCAGCAGUAGGGAAUCUUCCACAAUGGACGAAAGUCUGAUGGAGCAACGCCGCGUGAGCGAUGAAGGCCUUCGGGUCGUAAAGCUCUGUUGUUAGGGAAGAACAAGUACCGGAGUAACUGCCGGUACCUUGACGGUACCUAACCAGAAAGCCACGGCUAACUACGUGCCAGCCGCCGCUGUAA